This is a long non-coding RNA of Helianthus annuus (common sunflower), 1091 nucleotides long. RefSeq lists it as uncharacterized. The record is from RefSeq and is a predicted model, not a curated record. The transcript is spliced from 2 exons. NCBI's taxonomy places the organism in Eukaryota, Viridiplantae, Streptophyta, Magnoliopsida, Asterales, Asteraceae.
GACAACAAAAACCAAAACCACACACACGAUCAGAACAACACACCCUCACCCCCAUCGUUCUCUUUCUCUCUCGACUGAACUCUAGCAACCGGAGCAGAAUCCGGCCGUCCGGUGCCGGUUUCCGGCCAAAUCACACACAUAAGCACUCAUGUCUCAUCAUCUCUUCACACACCCCCCUUCGAUCGGCAAAGCUGAAGACCACCACCACAGUCCGGUGGUGGUGCGGCGGUGCUACAGUAAGAAACAGAGAGAGAGACUGAAAGAGAGAGAGAAAAAUCGGCGGUCGGUUCGAUGAUCCGGCGGUCGAUGCAUUUACCCGGUGGUCGACAACGAAGUCCGGCGGCCUUGUUCGGUCCGUCGGGUUUCACAGCGAUGGUGGUGAGCGACGGUGGGAGUAUCGGAGGGGAAAGAGGCGGAACAGAGGUGACGGUUCGGUGGUCACCAACUCGGACCGACGGUCACCGUCUUGGUUCGGCGGUCCUUGCUUUGGUCCGAUGGGUUUUCUGUUUGGGAGUCCCGGGUUGGGUCAGAUUUGUGACAGGUUUGUCGGGUGACGUUGUGGUUCGGGUCUCGGGUCACAGUUGGGUUCGGGUCAAACGCGGUCAACACCGGAGCAACACGGGUCAGCUGGUCAAAGGCAGUCGAACUCGAUCAGACUCAGUUUUGGAGCGGUUCGGUUUGUGGUUCGGGUUGACUCGGUCAAACUGAGUCGACUCGGUCAGACCUGGUCAACUCGCUGAGUCAACUCGGUCAACUCAAUCGGUCAACUCAGCGUGCCGACACGAAGAUUCGGUUGCUUUUCAAAGUCAAGGCAUGGUUGGAAUAGGAGGACCAUUGGAGACUCGAGUACUUAGUGGGCAUUCAGUUUCUAGAAAGACUUUGCUUAUUUGCUUCCGCUGUGCAAUGAACAUACCAGUCCAGUCACGCCAGCUCUGAUAAUUUCGGGGUGUGACAUGUUGUGCAUCAUGGCAAUAUUAUUUUAAGCGGUUGAAAAGUAAUGAAAUUGUAUUACAAGUCCGUAGAAGAGUUACUAUAUCAUAACAACAUACUUCAUGUAUUAUUUCGAGUUAAUUGCCCGGAUAGUUCAUGUG